RNAcentral lists this ribosomal RNA (119 nucleotides) under Triticum dicoccoides. The record is from RNAcentral. Lineage: Eukaryota; Viridiplantae; Streptophyta; Magnoliopsida; Poales; Poaceae.
AGAUGCGAUCAUACCAGCACUAAAGCACCGGAUCCCAUCAGAACUCUGAAGUUAAGCAUGCUUGGGCGAGAGUAGUACUAGGAUGGGUGACCUCCUAGGAAGUCCUCGUGUUGCAUUCC